UAAGGAAUAUUGGACAAUGGGCGCAAGCCUGAUCCAGCCAUGCCGCGUGAAGGAUGAAGGCCCUAUGGGUUGUAAACUUCUUUUAUGCGAGAAUAAAUGUGGUCAUUCAUGAUCAUUUGAAGGUAUCGUAAGAAUAAGCACCGGCUAACUCCGUGCCAGCAGCCGCGGUAAUACGGAGGGUGCAAGCGUUAUCCGGAAUCACUGGGUUUAAAGGGUGCGUAGGCGGCUUUAUAAGUCUGUUGUGAAAGCCAUCGGCUUAACCGAUCGAAUUGCAAUGGAUACUGUAGAGCUUGAAUCAGGUUGAGGCAGGCGGAAUGCGACAUGUAGCGGUGAAAUGCUUAGAUAUGUCGUAGAACACCAAUUGCGAAGGCAGCUUGCUGGACCUUGAUUGACGCUGAGG
This 400-nucleotide ribosomal RNA is filed under the name uncultured bacterium. RNAcentral's name for it is "bacterial SSU rRNA". It matches the Rfam family "Bacterial small subunit ribosomal RNA", at positions 355 to 751 of the family's 1533-position model. The record is from RNAcentral.